Molecule: unclassified non-coding RNA, 330 nt
Filed under: soil metagenome
Description: partial contains 5.8S ribosomal RNA, internal transcribed spacer 2, and large subunit ribosomal RNA
Rfam family: 5.8S ribosomal RNA (bases 1-120)
Source: RNAcentral
GAUGAAGAAUGCAGCGAAAUGCGAUAAGUAAUGUGAAUUGCAGAAUUCAGUGAAUCAUCGAAUCUUUGAACGCACAUUGCGCCCCCUGGUAUUCCGGGGGGCAUGCCUGUUCGAGCGUCAUUUCACCACUCAAGCCUCGCUUGGUAUUGGGCAACGCGGUCCGCUGCGUGCCUCAAAUCGACCGGCUGGGUCUUCUGUCCCCUAAGCGUUGUGGAAACUAUUCGCUAAAGGGUGUUCGGGAGGCUACGCCGUAAAACAACCCCAUUUCUAAGGUUGACCUCGGAUCAGGUAGGGAUACCCGCUGAACUUAAGCAUAUCAAUAGCGGAGGA